UAGGGAAUCUUCCACAAUGGACGCAAGUCUGAUGGAGCAACGCCGCGUGAGUGAAGAAGGUUUUCGGACCGUAAAGCUCUGUUGUUGGUGAAGAAGGAUAGAGGUAGUAACUGGCCUUUAUUUGACGGUAAUCAACCAGAAAGUCACGGCUAACUACGUGCCAGCAGCCGCGGUAAUACGUAGGUGGCAAGCGUUGUCCGGAUUUAUUGGGCGUAAAGCGAGCGCAGGCGGAAGAAUAAGUCUGAUGUGAAAGCCCUCGGCUUAACCGAGGAAU
Molecule: ribosomal RNA, 274 nt
Filed under: uncultured bacterium
Lineage: Bacteria
Description: partial 16S ribosomal RNA
Rfam family: Bacterial small subunit ribosomal RNA
Source: RNAcentral